RNAcentral lists this ribosomal RNA (3423 nucleotides) under Lagerheimia sp. NIES-4293. RNAcentral describes it as "partial 18S ribosomal RNA". The stretch from base 12 to 2423 matches the Rfam family "Eukaryotic small subunit ribosomal RNA", at positions 4 to 1116 of the family's 1831-position model. The record is from RNAcentral. Lineage: Eukaryota; Viridiplantae; Chlorophyta; Trebouxiophyceae; Chlorellales; Oocystaceae.
CCGCGGUGGGGGGAGGUCCUCCUCCCCUCUGUGCCGGACCCGCGCUCAAAGAUUAAGCCAUGCAUGUCUAAGUAUAAGCUGCUUAUACUGUGAAACUGCGAAUGGCUCAUUAAAUCAGUUAUAGUUUAUUUGAUGGUACCUUACUACUCGGAUAACCGUAGCAGGUUGAUUGCGGUUGAAAGGGCCUGCGAGAGCGGUCCCUAGUGGGAGCUGAGCGUCCUUGAGCCCUGCUGCUCAGCGUCCUGCGACAUCGUCAAAUUGCUCGGAAGCCCUGCCAAGGUUGCUGGUACCGCCUCUGAUGGGAAACCGUCGCGAGGCACCCCGGUGAAAGCCGGGGGUAUGGUGACAAUCCAACAACCAGGGGUGAUGAGCAGCCAAGCCCUACGGGCCUCUCCGGAGGCCUAUGGGUGCAGUUCACAGACUAGAUGGCGGUGGGUCGGUAGCACGUAUGCGGUGACACUCAUCACCUCUUGCGCGUCUAUCGGCUUAAGAUAUAGUCGGCCCCCACCGAGAGGUGGCCUGCAUGAACAAGGGGGUAGGGCCCCGAGAGCCUGCAGGAGCGGAGAUGUCGAAAGCACCCGGAGCGAUCCGGGCGCCCGGUCAUUCCUCGGAAGCCGGUCUCCGCUGGAGUUUGCGAGUAAACCUAGAGCUAAUACGUGCGCACAUCCCGACUUCUGGAAGGGACGUAUUUAUUAGAUAAAAGACCGACCGGCUUCGGCCGCCCCUCGGUGAAUCAUGAUAACUUUACGAAUCGCAUGGCCUUGCGCCGGCGAUGUUUCAUUCAAAUUUCUGCCCUAUCAACUUUCGAUGGUAGGAUAGAGGCCUACCAUGGUGGUAACGGGUGACGGAGAAUUAGGGUUCGAUUCCGGAGAGGGAGCCUGAGAAACGGCUACCACAUCCAAGGAAGGCAGCAGGCGCGCAAAUUACCCAAUCCCGACACGGGGAGGUAGUGACAAGAAAUAACAAUACCGGGCUCUUUCGAGUCUGGUAAUUGGAAUGAGAACAAUCUAAACCCCUUAUCGAGGAUCCAUUGGAGGGCAAGUCUGGUGAAGUGUAGCUUUCGAUGCUGACGCCAGAGAUAGUGGGGCGUCCCCGUUCCGACGGGGGUGCUACGCCCGCUAGUCGAGCCACCAACAGCUGAGGUUGGGAAGGUGGCCGGCGAGGUGACCUGGUACGGGGAAGGCCCUCAAGCCCCCUGACGGGGGUUUUGGGUUGAUCCCGUGGCGAGCCUGCAAAGAGCGAUCUUUGUGAGGCCGUCGUAACGCACGCUAAGGCACCGGGUGCUCUCUCUCUGCAUGUCACGUGUGGGGGGAGGCGCCUCGAGGGACGUGCUAAACCCACCCGAUGACAAAGGGUGCGCUGCAGACUAGUUCCCAAUCAACGAAGCUGCAGCGGGGCAAUGGUGCCUUGCGGAAAUGCUUGGCACGGCCUGGUAGGGGGGCGCAGCUGUGCCUGCGCCCCUAAUUGGCCAGCAGCCGCGGUAAUUCCAGCUCCAAUAGCGUAUAUUUAAGUUGCUGCAGUUAAAAAGCUCGUAGUCGGUUUUCGGGCGGGCUGCGCCGGUCUGCCUUUGGCACGCACUGGUGCGCCCCGCUUUUCUGCCGGGGACGGGCUCCUGGGCUUUACUGUCCGGGACCCGGAGUCGGCGCUGUUACCUUGAGAGGGGUACCCAAGAGGUUAGCAGCAGUCCCCCGGAGACGGGGGGCUAGUGGGCUGGGGGCCCCAUCCCCAGUCCCGCGACACCGUUGAAUUGCGGGAAAGCCCUUGACAGCUCCACCUACCAAGCCGUGCGCCGAAAGGCGUCGGUGGCCAGGGUAACGACCUCGGGUAUGGUAAUAACGGUGGAGAUUGGGCAACCUGCAGCCAAGCCCCUAAGGGCGUCAUGCCUACGGGGAAGGUUCAGAGACUAAGUGGCGGUGGGCCGGUCCAAGACCGGCUUAAGAUAUAGUCCAGCCCUCGCGAAAGCGGGCCCAGAGACGAAAGGCUGCCUGGCUCUGCAAGGGCCGGGGAAGCGCAGCCCGGAGCUCUGGGAGCCGCCCCCCCCGAGGGGCGGUGGGAGCACCUGUACCUUGAGUAAAAUGGAGUGUUCAAAGCAGGCAACCGCUCUGAACAUAUUAGCAUGGAAUAACGUCAUAGGACUCUGGCCUAUUUCGUUGGUCUGUGGGACCGGAGUAACGACCAAUGGGGGCAGUCGGGGGCAUUCGUAUUUCGUUGUCAGAGGUGAAAUUCUUGGAUUUACGAAAGACGAACUGCUGCGAAAGCGUUUGCCAAGGAUGCUUUCGUCGAUCAAGAACGAAAGUUGGGGGCUCGAAGACGAUUAGAUACCGUCCUAGUCUCAACCAUAAACGAUGCCGACUAGGGAUCGGCGGAUGUUCUUUCGAUGACUCCGCCGGCACCUCAUGAGAAAUCAAAGUGUUUGGGUUCCGGGGGGAGUAUGGUCGCAAGGCUGAAACUUAAAGGAAUUGACGGAAGGGCACCACCAGGCGUUAAAAUGCUCUAGCGCCUCAGAGUGCAGGUUGCAACCCUGCGCUAGUGGGGGGGCUGUUGCCCUCCCGCGACACUGUCCAAUUGCGGGGAAGCCCUAAGGCUCGCACGUACCAAGGCAGGCCGGAAACGGGCUGCUGGCCCCAGUCAACAGCUGGGGGUAGGGUAACAACCGUGCGAGAUGCGCUUGCAGGCGACAGCCGCAGGCAAAAUGGGUGAUCCGCAGCCAAGCCCUAAGGGUCCUCCCUGCCAAAGGGGGGGCUACGGGUGCAGUUCACAGACUACAUGGCAGUGGGCGGCCUCUCCUGCGUCCCAUACGGGACGCUCGAGGGCUGCUUAAGAUAUAGUCGGGCCACUCAGCAAUGAGUCCUUGUGGGAGCAGGUGCAACUCGUAGCACUGAGAGCCCGCAAGGGGCAGGGUAGUAGCACCUGGGGCGACCCAGGCGCGGCAGCAACGCCUCCUGCCCGGAGAAAACCGGGAGCCUGUGGCUUAAUUUGACUCAACACGGGAAAACUUACCAGGUCCAGACAUAGUGAGGAUUGACAGAUUGAGAGCUCUUUCUUGAUUCUAUGGGUGAACAUGCGCAAUGAUGUUUGUGCCACUGCCCAUGAGAGCGCGGGGGAAACCCCGGCGCUAGUCACUGCCGCGCCGCCACGCUAGGCGCGGGAGCUGGCGAGACCAUCGAAUUGCGGGGACAUCCUUAGCGCCUCUGCUACCAAGCCGGCCGUCCGAAAGGCGCCGGUGGCCAGGGUAACUUCCUCGGGUAUGGUAAAAACGCAGAGGAUUGGACAAUCCGCAGCCAAGCUCCUACGGGCCAGCCUCAGCUGCCUACGGAGAAGGUUCAGAGACUAGGUGGUGGUCGGUCCCAUACAUGGGGCUUAAGAUAGAGUCCGACGCUGCGGAAACGCAGCCCCAAGACGAAAGUCCUAGCAGGGCCAGAG